GUAGUCGUGGCCGAGUGGUUAAGGUGAUGGACUAGAAAUUCUUUGGGGAUUCCCCACGCAGGUUCCAAUCCUGCCCACUACG
RNAcentral lists this transfer RNA (82 nucleotides) under Loxodonta africana (African savanna elephant). RNAcentral describes it as "tRNA-Ser (AGA) (tRNA-Ser-AGA-18-1)". It matches the Rfam family "tRNA". From Rfam's summary of the family: Transfer RNA (tRNA) molecules are approximately 80 nucleotides in length. Their secondary structure includes four short double-helical elements and three loops (D, anti-codon, and T loops). Lineage: Eukaryota; Metazoa; Chordata; Mammalia; Proboscidea; Elephantidae. The record is from Rfam by way of RNAcentral.